AAAUGAAUUGACGGGAGCCCGCACAAGCAGUGGAGUAUGUGGUUUAAUUCGACGCAACGCGAAGAACCUUACCAGGAUUUGACAUCCCUUGACCAGGGCGUAAUGGCCCGUCUUGGACUUCGGUCUGACAAGGUGACAGGUGGUGCAUGGUUGUCGUCAGCUCGUGUCGUGAGAUGUUGGGUUAAGUCCCGCAACGAGCGCAACCCUUACGGUCAGUUACUACGAAAGAGGACUCUGGCCGGACUGCCGUUGACAAAACGGAGGAAGGUGGGGAUGACGUCAAAUCAUCAUGCCCCUUAUAUUCUGGGCUACACACGUACUACAAUGGCGAAAACAAAGGGGAGCAAAACCGCGAGGUGGAGCAAAUCCCAAAAAAGUCGUCCCAGUUCGGACUGCAGGCUGCAACCCGCCUGCACGAAGUUGGAAUUGCUAGUAAUCGCGGGUCAGCAUACCGCGGUGAAUACGUUCCCGGGCUUUGUACACACCGCCCGU
RNAcentral lists this ribosomal RNA (492 nucleotides) under uncultured bacterium. Its description in RNAcentral is "bacterial SSU rRNA". It matches the Rfam family "Bacterial small subunit ribosomal RNA", at positions 903 to 1397 of the family's 1533-position model. The record is from RNAcentral.